RNAcentral lists this ribosomal RNA (405 nucleotides) under uncultured bacterium. RNAcentral describes it as "partial 16S ribosomal RNA". It matches the Rfam family "Bacterial small subunit ribosomal RNA", at positions 30 to 526 of the family's 1533-position model. The record is from RNAcentral.
AUUGAACGCUGGCGGUAGGCCUAAUACAUGCAAGUCGAACGAGUGGCGGACGGGUGAGUAAUGCUUGGGAAUCCAGCUUAUGGAGGGGGAUAACUACGGGAAACUGUAGCUAUUACCGCGUACCUGAGGAUUAUCCCAAGUGGGAUUAGGUAGUUGGUGAGGUAAAGGCUCACCAAGCCGACGAUCUCUAGCUGGUCUGAGAGGAUGACCAGCCAUACUGGGACUGAGACACGGCCCAGACUCCUACGGGAGGCAGCAGUGGGGAAUAUUGCGCAAUGGGGGAAACCUGACGCAGCCAUGCCGCGUGAAUGAAGAAGGCCUUCGGGUUGUAAAGUUCUUUCGGUAGCGAGGCGUUAACUACAGAAGAAGCACCGGCUAACUACGUGCCAGCAGCCGCGGUAAUUC